RNAcentral lists this ribosomal RNA (255 nucleotides) under uncultured bacterium. RNAcentral's name for it is "partial 16S ribosomal RNA". It matches the Rfam family "Bacterial small subunit ribosomal RNA", at positions 524 to 776 of the family's 1533-position model. The record is from RNAcentral.
UACGGGGGGAGCAAGCGUUGUUCGGAUUUACUGGGCGUAAAGGGCGCGUAGGCGGCGCGACAAGUCACUUGUGAAAUCUCUGGGCUCAACCCAGAACGGUCAAGUGAUACUGUCGUGCGUAGAGUGCGGAAGGGGCAACUGGAAUUCUUGGUGGUAGCGGUGAAAUGCGUAGAUAUCAAGAGGAACACCUGCGGCGAAGGCGGGUUGCUGGGCCGACACUGACGCUGAGGCGCGAAAGCUAGGGGAGCGAACGGG